RNAcentral lists this non-coding RNA (45 nucleotides) under Schistosoma margrebowiei. The record is from RNAcentral. Lineage: Eukaryota; Metazoa; Platyhelminthes; Trematoda; Strigeidida; Schistosomatidae.
AUUCAGGUGAUGAGUCCCGAAUAAGACGAAACGCGCGUCCUAGAC